GCGUUCACACAAGAAGCACAACUUUAAACCUGAGCUCCGCGUUUUUAGACGCGCGUCUGUGGCGCUUGUUUACAUAGAAAACACGGGGAAAGCAGCUCAAAUUAACGCAAAAAAGAGGCCUGUGUGAACGUCCUCUUUACUGUUGUGUUGCUUGAACUCAUAUAUUAACAUCCGAUUUCAACAAAUAUACAUAAAGGAUGUUCAUAUUAUAGCACGACCAUAAACAUUCAGAGAACUAAAAAAAAAAACAACAUAGAACUGACGCAUUAUGACGCCAUAGUAGAGUGGAAUCUGUUGAGAGCAGUUCAUCUCUGAGUGAAGUUGUUCAGAUCAUUUUAACUGUUCGUGAUCGCAAUGAAAAGCCGAAAAAGCAAGAAGCCGACAAGGCCAAGCAUUACUCCAACUUUUGAGAGCCCUUCCCAGACCCAGUUACUUCAGUUUAUACCUUCCUCGCCUGGUCCAUCUUCUAACACGAGGCCUCCAUCCAGGCGCAUGAAGGGAAGACAGAGAAAUGUUGUAUUGCCUGACAUUGGAAAUGCAGUGAAUUCUGUGGCCAGAAGAAACGGCACCGGAGACCCUUUACCAUCCGUCCCGGGCAUUCCAGCAGUGCUAAAAGGCGACCACAAUGGGAAGACCAUGUGCAGUGAUGCUGCAACCUUUCUCUCUGCCGCUGACAGGGCAAGACUUUUUGGCAUCAACAAGUGGUAUUAGACUCCAGGGAGGAGAUGAAAUCAUCAGAAAAAGAAGAAAUCUGUUCAAAAUAAAAAAAUAAUUGUGCAUUAAAAAACAGUUGUUUCAGCUUCACUGUCAUAACUAUAGUCUAUGGAAACUUGUUUCCCCCAUGGAGUAAAAAAUAUAAAAGGUAAUCAGGACUUUUUAAUUUCACAAUUCAUACUCUUUUCAUGCAGUUCUGAGGGAAAAAAAAGGCCAGAAUUAUAAAAUAUAAAGUCAGGACUUUGAGAUAUAAACUUGCAUUUCUACUUCUUCUGAGAAGUCUGAACUCCAAGAUAUAACUCAGAAUUCUGACUUUUUUGCUUGAAAUUUUGAGUUUAUAACUUGAAAUUUGGCCCUUUUUCUUGCAAUUCUGUUUUUAUUUCCA
This is a long non-coding RNA of Onychostoma macrolepis, 1099 nucleotides long. RefSeq lists it as uncharacterized. The transcript has 3 exons. NCBI's taxonomy places the organism in Eukaryota, Metazoa, Chordata, Actinopteri, Cypriniformes, Cyprinidae. The record is from RefSeq and is a predicted model, not a curated record.